RNAcentral lists this ribosomal RNA (444 nucleotides) under uncultured bacterium. Its description in RNAcentral is "partial 16S ribosomal RNA". It matches the Rfam family "Bacterial small subunit ribosomal RNA", at positions 354 to 796 of the family's 1533-position model. The record is from RNAcentral.
GUAGGGAAUAUUGGGCAAUGGUCGGAAGACUGACCCAGCCAUGCCGCGUGCAGGAAGACGGCCCUCUGGGUUGUAAACUGCUUUUAUCUGGGAAGAAAAAGGCCAUGCGUGGCAAAUUGCCGGUACCAGAUGAAUAAGCACCGGCUAACUCCGUGCCAGCAGCCGCGGUAAUACGGAGGGUGCGAGCGUUGUCCGGAUUUAUUGGGUUUAAAGGGUGCGUAGGCGGCUGAUUAAGUCAGCGGUGAAAGACUUCGGCUGAACCGGAGCAGUGCCGUUGAUACUGGUUGGCUUGAGUGUCGGAGGGGUACAUGGAAUUGAUGGUGUAGCGGUGAAAUGCAUAGAUACCAUCAGGAACACCGAUAGCGAAGGCAUUGUACUGGCCGACAACUGACGCUGAUGCACGAAAGUGUGGGGAUCGAACAGGAUUAGAAACCCUGGUAGUCC